This is a long non-coding RNA of Ziziphus jujuba (common jujube), 1741 nucleotides long. RefSeq lists it as uncharacterized. The transcript has 4 exons. Lineage: Eukaryota; Viridiplantae; Streptophyta; Magnoliopsida; Rosales; Rhamnaceae. The record is from RefSeq and is a predicted model, not a curated record.
ACAUAAAUGCAAGUGCUACGACGAUGACGUUUCAAAUUUUCCAAAUUUCGAAAAAUUGGACCGUUUGGGAGGCUAUGUCCGAGACGUUAUAGAUAUGCAUUCCUCAUUUGGUUUCUCAGGAAACCUAAUGCUGUAAAAAAUAGCGAUGAUGGCUGAGGAAUCCGACUCCACCACCAAGGCGAUGGCUGGUUUUGGUUCGAAACCUGUAGCACCUAUGCCCCCACGUGUCAGUUCGAACCCUAAUAGAAAGAUGAGGCUAAUCGAAGAACCAAAAAGGAGAAGCCUAUACUAAUAGCCACUCAGAGACCGAACCGGUGGGAAACCAAACCCCCGAAACUUUCCGUACAGUGUGAAGCGGAGCAAUCUUGCUGGGUCAAUGGUCGGUAAAGAUCAAAGGGCAAGAGCCAGAUCUUUGGAUAUUCAUGAAUUCUACAGGAAAUCGAACGUAUGCCUCUUCUCAAAUUCUGGAUACACAUAUAGCUCAGAGCAUUGGGCUCUGUAAUUCUGGGGCUCUUUAACCUGUUUGAAGACCUCUUAGAAAUAUUUCCCAGCGAUCAGCAUGGUGGCCCGGGCUUCUGCUUCUAUUCUAACGGCAACCUUGCAUCCGUGGAGGUCACUUGUUGAACAGGGUUUUAUGGUCGGUCUGGGACCCCUGGAUGCCAAAUGCAUCCUUGGAGUGAUCUCUAGGUUCCUGUAGGGUAGAGAUGAUGGGAUCAGUCCAUGGAUUCUCUAUUCCUUUGUGUAUACGUGAUUGGUGUCUGACUUAUCAGGAAAGGAUUUUGGAGUAAUGCUAGGUACAUUUAUUUGGUAUCCCUAGUAUUAUUCAAGGCUUUUGAUAUCCUUAAUUUGUUACAUUUGUUUAUGGACAGUGAUACUUCAUAUUGCAUUGUGUAUGUGAAAGAUGUAGAGUAUGGUGGCAUGAGUUGUCAAGAAUUUGCAACAAUGGGCGGUUAUAGCUUAUAUGACGACUACCCUGCAGUGUUGUGCCAAAUGUUUUCUAUCUGGAUGCUUUUUCUUGAUUGAUGAUAAUAUGGUGCCAUCAGUCAUCAAGAAUACACAACAAUGGGUUAAACAACAUCUAUAUCACUGCAUGGUUUUGCCCUAUGUUCUUUAGCCGGGCAACUCAAGUGAAAUCAUUUACUGCCAGGUGGCAUCUAGUGAAAUUGUUUAUUCUGUCAGGCUCAUUUUAUGACUCAUUGAAUAUUGAAAGCUGAAAGUGAUUUUAUCUGGAUUUCUCCUCAAGUGAAAUGAUUUGCAUCAUAAUAUCACUGCUUUUGUUCUCUCAUAUGCAUGCUUCUCUAAGUUCCCUGUGCAUGCUGGCUCGCUUAUGUGAUUAUGAAGGUGAGUCUAUUGAACUAUGAUGCGGUUGAGCUAUUGAUUUCAGUAUCCCCUCCAGUCCUCCGAUUGUUUAUGUCCACGAGGUAGCAUAAUCUUGGUGGGUUCAGGGAAAGGAAUUCCCCAAGCUUGAAGCUUCAGCUAACUUAGGCUGGCUAACCUUGUGCUUGCUUUGCACCUUCUUCAGAGUCAGUCGGUAUGCGGGGGAUGUUCUUGUUUCCUCUGUAUAAAACAUGAUUUAUUUUUGCAACCAGUUAUAUGUAUGCAUACAAGCUUUAGCCUGGUCUAUUUCUAUUAUGUAAUGUUAAGUUUAGCUUUAACUUUCAAAAACAGAGCAAACACAAACUAAGGGCAUAGGUAAGCAACAAAUUUUUCAAUGAAAACAAAAUGCAUACAUUGCUGCUAA